CUGAAGGACAGAGGAGAUAUGUGGUCCUUUUAUUAUCUGCAAAUGAAGCCCAGGGCGUGUGGUAUGGCCUAGAGCAACUUCUCCAAGUUGAAGUGGAUUUCUUAAGAUUUAGAAAUUAUUAAUUUAGGAUUCAUGAUGAACUUCAGAAGAUUCACAGAGCCAAAAAUGGAAUGCAAGUAUGAAUAGUUCAUCAAAGGAGUGAAUGAAUUGACCAACAAAGAUGGAAGUGAGGCAAAUAAAUGAAAAGUAAAAUCUGAAUGCGAUGGAAAUGGAGUUCUAGAAGAAAUCGCUGGCCGUGGCGGUGUUGACACCAGGGCGGUGUGAGCCUCUGGACGUGCAGCCAGGCACUCGGCGAAGCCAACUUACUGACAUCAGUGGAGAAAGUGGCUGUGAUGAAGGGAUGCUGAUGUCCCAGAGGAAGUGACUCCAGGAAAAUACUUACGUUAAAGAAACUCUUGGAGGUAUUUCAGGGCACCGAACGUGUGCAAAGGAUAAAGUGUCGGAAGCGAAUCUAGAUUUAGAAAGGAAUGUGACAAUUUUGCCAGGGCAUCGAAAAGAUGUGUAGCGAGUUAGAUGAUGAGAAGAAAGCAAGUGCUGCUGAAAUGCUUCUUGAUG
Molecule: long non-coding RNA, 615 nt
Organism: Canis lupus familiaris (dog)
Lineage: Eukaryota; Metazoa; Chordata; Mammalia; Carnivora; Canidae
Exons: 3
Source: RefSeq, a predicted model, not a curated record